This 589-nucleotide ribosomal RNA is filed under the name Vibrio orientalis CIP 102891 = ATCC 33934. RNAcentral's name for it is "bacterial SSU rRNA". It matches the Rfam family "Bacterial small subunit ribosomal RNA", at positions 9 to 577 of the family's 1533-position model. The record is from RNAcentral. Lineage: Bacteria; Pseudomonadati; Pseudomonadota; Gammaproteobacteria; Vibrionales; Vibrionaceae.
GAGUUUGAUCAUGGCUCAGAUUGAACGCUGGCGGCAGGCCUAACACAUGCAAGUCGAGCGGAAACGACUUAACUGAACCUUCGGGGAACGUUAAGGGCGUCGAGCGGCGGACGGGUGAGUAAUGCCUGGGAAAUUGCCCUGAUGUGGGGGAUAACCAUUGGAAACGAUGGCUAAUACCGCAUAAUGCCUUCGGGCCAAAGAGGGGGACCUUCGGGCCUCUCGCGUCAGGAUAUGCCUAGGUGGGAUUAGCUAGUUGGUGAGGUAAGGGCUCACCAAGGCGACGAUCCCUAGCUGGUCUGAGAGGAUGAUCAGCCACACUGGAACUGAGACACGGUCCAGACUCCUACGGGAGGCAGCAGUGGGGAAUAUUGCACAAUGGGCGCAAGCCUGAUGCAGCCAUGCCGCGUGUAUGAAGAAGGCCUUCGGGUUGUAAAGUACUUUCAGCAGUGAGGAAGGUGGAGUCGUUAAUAGCGGCCUCACUUGACGUUAGCUGCAGAAGAAGCACCGGCUAACUCCGUGCCAGCAGCCGCGGUAAUACGGAGGGUGCGAGCGUUAAUCGGAAUUACUGGGCGUAAAGCGCAUGCAGGUG